This 68-nucleotide transfer RNA is filed under the name Marmota monax (woodchuck). Its description in RNAcentral is "tRNA.Ala". The stretch from base 5 to 65 matches the Rfam family "tRNA", at positions 6 to 65 of the family's 71-position model. From Rfam's summary of the family: Transfer RNA (tRNA) molecules are approximately 80 nucleotides in length. Lineage: Eukaryota; Metazoa; Chordata; Mammalia; Rodentia; Sciuridae. The record is from RNAcentral.
GGAUUGUAGCUCAGUGGUAGAGUGCUUGCCUUGCAUGCAUGAAACCCUGGGUUCGAUCCCCAGUACCA